RNAcentral lists this transfer RNA (85 nucleotides) under Schistocephalus solidus. It matches the Rfam family "tRNA". Rfam says of the family: Transfer RNA (tRNA) molecules are approximately 80 nucleotides in length. Their secondary structure includes four short double-helical elements and three loops (D, anti-codon, and T loops). Lineage: Eukaryota; Metazoa; Platyhelminthes; Cestoda; Diphyllobothriidea; Diphyllobothriidae. The record is from Rfam by way of RNAcentral.
AGCCUCGUAGCUCGGUUGGCUAGAGCGUUGGUAGUGUACUAAAGCCUUUUCCUUGCUGGCGUGGGUUCAAAUCCCACCGAGGCCG